CUGCUGCCUCCCGUAGGAGUCUGGGCCGUGUCUCAGUCCCAGUGUGGCCGUCCACCCUCUCAGGCCGGCUGCUGACCGUCGCUUUGGUGGGCCGUUACCCCGCCAACUGGCUAAUCAGACGCGGGCCCAUCCUGUACCACCGGAGUUUUCAAAGGAUUACCAUGCGGUAUUUCCUAUUAUGCGGUAUUAGCACCUAUUUCUAAGUGUUAUCCCCCAGUACAGGGCAGGUUGCCCACGCGUUACUCACCCGUCCGCCACUAAGACAGA
RNAcentral lists this ribosomal RNA (267 nucleotides) under uncultured bacterium. RNAcentral describes it as "partial 16S ribosomal RNA". The record is from RNAcentral.